GUAGCCAAGGGGGCCAUCCUGUGUGACCUCCGCCUUUGCACGGCGGAGGUCAGGGGUUCGAAUCCCCUCGGCUCCA
Molecule: transfer RNA, 76 nt
Filed under: Actinomycetota bacterium
Lineage: Bacteria; Bacillati; Actinomycetota
Description: tRNA-Ala
Rfam family: tRNA (bases 10-76)
About the family: Transfer RNA (tRNA) molecules are approximately 80 nucleotides in length. Their secondary structure includes four short double-helical elements and three loops (D, anti-codon, and T loops).
Source: RNAcentral